Molecule: long non-coding RNA, 3024 nt
Organism: Vespula pensylvanica (western yellowjacket)
Lineage: Eukaryota; Metazoa; Arthropoda; Insecta; Hymenoptera; Vespidae
Exons: 4
Source: RefSeq, a predicted model, not a curated record
UGUUUACCCUUGUGAAAAGUACAUUCUUUUAUAUGUUCUCUUUCAGAAUGAAAACGCAUAAGUGAAUUAGGAAUUCUCGCGGAUUUCGAAUAAUAUAAAGAAUUUGAAGGUAAUCUCCUUUAUCUGGAAGCUUUCAAAUUUUAACUAUAGCAUGUAAAGAUGAGAAGAGGCAAUCGAAUCGACUGUCUUAACCCUUGGCAGACUUGGUAAUUCGUGAAAUCGAAGAGUUUCGUGAAGUACGAUUUUUUCCUCUCAUGUUUAUGCAUCGAAACGAGGGUUGUACGAUUUACGUAAGACAGUAAAGCUGAAAUUACAGUAGGAAGGAUAUUGCGGAGCUUCCAUCGUAGAACCGAUUCCUUUUAUCGUAACUAAAGGUUAUUACGAUGGAUACCCUCUCUUUCUCUUCGGAGAGAAACAGGUUCGUAGAAGGUUGUAACUUCGACUUUCGAAGUUUACCGUCUUACUUUUAUAUCCACUUGCUUUCUCGCAAUUUAGAAAUAACUUGAAAUUUAGAAAUCCCUUCGACAAGAAUCUUUCCUUGAUUUCAUUCGUUCAUUACUUACAAUAACGUACAAAUUUUGAUAACAAUGCUUUUGGAAUUUUCGAUUUAUGUCAAUAAUCGAUUAUUAUCGAGCAUUACAUGGAUUAAUAAAAUGUCACUGAAUUAUAUUUGAGGAUCGUAUGAGAUAACAAAAAUGGCAAUCGUUCUUAAAGAAGUUAAUCACCCGUCUUCAACGAAAGAUCAAUAAAAGAGAUUUAAUUAAUACGUCGCGAUCAUUAUUAACACCAAUUGUUGCUUGUCAAAAAUAGUUACAUUCUUACUUCAGAAUAGUUGGAUUUUUAAUUUUCUUCGCGUCGAAGUUACUCCUCUUGUAGACGUCAGCACAUUCAUCCCUUUGCCUUAUUUCCUCGUAUGAGGAAAAGACGUGAGAUCGCCAAGGGGGAUCAAUUUACAGUAAAAAAUAAAAAGAGAGAGUGAGAAAGAGAGAGAAAGGAAGAAAAAAGAAGGAGGCCUGUAAAAGCGGGGACCAACACCGCAGCUGUGAAACAACUCAAACGUAUAAAGAAACGACAGUGGAUAUAACGCGAAAACGCGUUUCCUGGCGGAAAUAAUUCGUGUUCAGAAUGGUCAGCUGGACCCUCCUACACGUAAAUCACGACGCUGCCGCAGAUCCAAUUAUCAAAUUGUCCGGCACUUCAGCCUAGUCAAGAGAACCAUCGAGAUGGCGUGAAACGACAGAGGAAAAGGGAGGAAAGGAAUAGAGCUGAAGGAGAUGCAACGAUGUGCUUCGAAGAAGAACGUACGUUCCAUGCUGCCGUCGAGGUGACAUUAUUGUUGACUAAUACUUAUCUGAGAAAUUCCCAUGAUGCAAAACGAGCAUAUCUUCGGCGUUAUCUUAUUUUUAAUAAAAUAUUUUCCUCUUGACGUUGGGUUACCAAGAACGUUGUAUUCUCCAUCAGAUUUUCUUCUCGGACAAAGGUCAAUGUGAAAUAUGAUUAUAAGAUUGUUUCGAGCGAAUAAUAAACUAACAAUGAUUCGAUUUCUCGAGGAAAGAUCGGGAAAGAGUGAGCGAAAAAAGAUAAAUUCUCAACCGCGGUCGAUGGUUUCAUCGGGCGACCGAAAAUAUCUGAACGAGGAGGUUUCUCCCUCGGGCAACGACAAUUGAGUCAAUUUAGAGAGCGGUUUUGAUAGGUCGCCUGACAUGUGAGCGCGUUACACGGCAGGUGUUCUGAAAUAUUACGCCCGCGUGCUACGCCAAUUAUCCCCGACGUCAUGCCCGAAAGGCGUAAUGGACGAUUACUACCGACACCAAAUCGCGACGCUUUUUUAUUUGUCCCCAUUUUGAACGGAGUUCAGAGAUGCUGCAAAGAGCAUCGCCUAUAUACGUCUUCUAUUCGAUGGAUGAGAAUUUCUUUCGCUAUUAUCUAACAUAUACGCAAACGAUCGAUGACGAUUUACAAUUAAUAAAAUUAAACGUAAUAACGUAUGUACAUACCACAUAUAUUCACUAAAGUUAUACUAUAUCGUGUUAUUUAUUAACAGUUUUUAAAAUACGCAAUAAAAUUGUAACGGAAUUAAUUCACUUACGAAUCUUUCUCUUACUAAGGCACAAGCACACAAGAUAAUCAUUCGGCGUCUGAUCCGAUACUGUUAUUUAAUCGCUUAUUCCAUCUUUCGGUGAUCCUUAUUGAUAAACAGAGGGCCGUCCCCAAUAUGUAGAAAUCAAAACAUACACACGUACUAGAUAUAUUUAUAUUGUAUUAUGUGACCUUACAAUGUGUCGAAUGUAUACACAUAUACAAUAUUCUCCGAGGGCCUUCCCUGAUAUCAAACAAUGACUUACGUAUCAAUAAAAUAUGUUAAAAAUACACAGGUGACUUUUUCAUUUAUAUACGAUUAUUUUUAUGUAUCGAUGUGUGUGUUUUUAAUCUGUUUCCUUCGAUCGUUUUUUACCGAUAAUAUAUAUUGGAAUAUAAUGGCGAAAUUGAAUAUAAGUCGAUAAGCCAAGACGAUAAAAGCACUAGUAUAGAGAAAGUAUAGAUAUUGAAAUCUAAUAUUUUAAAAUCGUGAAUUUAUUUGUAUUCAUGAUCUUCUUUUAAAAAGAAUAACUUUUUGUUCUAAUACUAAUCGUAUGAUUUCGUGUAUAGAAUACUAUCAAGAUGUCACAGGUUACCUUUUCCCUACUCGUUAUUGCAUUAAUAAUGUGCAUUAUUGUUCAAACUAUUUGGGCUGCACCAACCUUGCAAGAGAACGAAGAAGGACACUUGGCCGGAUGCGGUCAUCAGGCUGCUCACUGUAAAAGAAACUCAGAUUGCUGCUUUUAUCUGAAAUGUCACAACUACGUUAAAUUGUGCCUGCCUUAGGAAGAACAAAUUAAAACAGAACACACACACACAUAUAACUGGACAUGUUAACUAAUCUAAUACGAUUACUAUUGUAUUAUUGAUAUUACUUAUUAAAGUUCAUAAACGUUACAAUUAUGAUUAUAAGAAUGUAAAAUAAAACUAUACGUUUAAUAUCAA